CGCAUCUGUGCAUGCAGCAUAUCAAUAAGCGGAGGAAAAGGCUGCGGAACUGAACGACCGCUACCUACGCUUAGGAUGUUGACACACGCGCGUGCUCGACUCUAUACAUGACUCUGUGCAUAUCAAUAAGCGGAGGAAAAGGGUACCUACGCUUAGGAUGUUGACACACGCGCGUGCUCGGCUCUAUACAUGACUCUGCGCAUAUCAAUAAGCGGAGGAAAAGGUACCUACGCUUAGGAUGUUGAUGUGAUACUGCGAGGCUCGCAGUAUCGGCUCUAUACAUGACUCUGCGCAUAUCAAUAAGCGGAGGAAAAGAGGGCUAUUACCUACGCUUAGGAUGUUGACACACGCGCGUGCUCGACUCUAUACAUGACUCUGUGCAUAUCAAUAAGCGGAGGAAAAGAAACUAACAAGGAUUCCCUUAGUAACGGCGAGUGAAGCGGGGAAGAGCUCAAAUUUGAAAUCUUCAAGGUUUUACCUUGACGAAUUGUAGUUUAAAGAAGUGUUUUCUGUUGAAGUUUUGGUAAAAGUUCUUUGGAAUAGGACAUCAUAGAGGGUGAGAAUCCCGUAUUUGACCAUUAUUUUCAGCUGUGUGAUACACUUUCAAAGAGUCGGAUUAUUUGGGAAUGCAGUCCAAAAUGGGUGGUAAAUUUCAUCUAAAGCUAAAUAUUGGCGAGAGACCGAUAGCGAACAAGUACCGUGAGGGAAAGAUGAAAAGAACUUUGAAAAGAGAGUUAAACAGUACGUGAAAUUGUCAAAAGGGAAGCGUUUGACACCAGUGUUGUUUUCUCGAAAAUCAAUUAAAAAGAGUUUGAUUUUGUUGUGUAUUGACCUUAACAGCUUGCAUUUCAAUUUUCUUGCUUUUUUUAAUGCACUUUUCGUUUAACAAGUCAACAUCAGUUUCUUUUGUUGUAAAAAGGUCAUUGGAAGGUGGCUUUCUUUUCGGAGAAAGUGUUUAUAGCCUUUGACUCCUGCAAUCGGAGAGACUGAGGUCUGCAGCGUAGAUCCUUCGGGGUUAGAUACAUUUGUGCUAAGUUAUAGCUUUUUAUAGACAACUUGUUGACUAUGAUUAGUCUUGUAGCUUACUCGCUUAUGCUAUUUUACCUACGCUUAGGAUGUUGACACACGCGCGUGCUCG
This 1138-nucleotide ribosomal RNA is filed under the name uncultured Neocallimastigales. RNAcentral describes it as "partial large subunit ribosomal RNA". The stretch from base 342 to 1138 matches the Rfam family "Eukaryotic large subunit ribosomal RNA", at positions 1 to 643 of the family's 3401-position model. The record is from RNAcentral. Lineage: Eukaryota; Fungi; Neocallimastigomycota; Neocallimastigomycetes; Neocallimastigales.